RNAcentral lists this ribosomal RNA (460 nucleotides) under uncultured bacterium. RNAcentral describes it as "bacterial SSU rRNA". It matches the Rfam family "Bacterial small subunit ribosomal RNA", at positions 28 to 524 of the family's 1533-position model. The record is from RNAcentral.
AGCGAACGCUGGCGGCAUGCCUAACACAUGCAAGUCGCACGGUCGGGGGGUGACCUUCGGCAGUGGCGGACGGGUGAGUAACGCGUAGGGAUCUAUCCUUGGAUGGGGGACAACCGCGGGAAACCGCGGCUAAUACCGCAUGAUGCCUGAGGGCCAAAGCUCGCGAGAGCGUCUGGGGAGGAGCCUGCGUCCGAUUAGCUAGUUGGUGGGGUAACGGCCCACCAAGGCGUCGANCGGUAGCUGGUCUGAGAGGAUGAUCAGCCACACUGGGACUGAGACACGGCCCAGACUCCUACGGGAGGCAGCAGUGGGGAAUAUUGGACAAUGGGCGCAAGCCUGAUCCAGCAAUGCCGCGUGGGUGAAGAAGGUCUUCGGAUUGUAAAGCCCUUUCGACGGGGACGAUGAUGACGGUACCCGUAGAAGAAGCCCCGGCUAACUUCGUGCCAGCCGCCGCGGUAAU